UACGUAGGGGGCAAGCGUUGUCCGGAGUUAUUGGGCGUAAAGCGCGUGUAGGCGGUCCGGCAAGUCGGCUGUGAAAGCCCAGGGCUCAACCCUGGGAUGCCGGUCGAUACUGCCGGACUAGAGUUCGGAAGAGGCGAGUGGAAUUCCCGGUGUAGCGGUGAAAUGCGCAGAUAUCGGGAGGAACACCAAUGGCAGAGGCAGCUCGGUGGGACGUUACUGACGCUGAGACGCGAAAGCGUGGGGAGCAAACAGG
RNAcentral lists this ribosomal RNA (253 nucleotides) under uncultured bacterium. RNAcentral describes it as "partial 16S ribosomal RNA". It matches the Rfam family "Bacterial small subunit ribosomal RNA", at positions 524 to 776 of the family's 1533-position model. The record is from RNAcentral.